RNAcentral lists this long non-coding RNA (2217 nucleotides) under Chelonoidis abingdonii (Abingdon island giant tortoise). RNAcentral describes it as "lncRNA (ENSCABG00000015196.1)". Lineage: Eukaryota; Metazoa; Chordata; Testudines; Testudinidae. The record is from RNAcentral.
AGCCAGCACCCCAGCAGUGGGGGGGGGCAGCAGCAACGCAUGUAUCUGUCUGUCCUCAGGAGACAUACGGCGAAGACCCGUUCCUGAGCGCAGAGCUGGCCAUGGCAUUCGUGCAGGGGCUGCAGGGUGACCAUCCCCGUUACGUCAAGGCCAGUGCCGGCUGCAAGCACUUCAGCGUGCAUGGGGGCCCUGAGAACGUGCCCGUCUCGAGGCUCAGCUUUGAUGCCAAGGUGCAAGAGCGGGACUGGAGAAUGACCUUCCUGCCCCAGUUCCAGGCCUGUGUGCGCGCUGGCUCCUACAGCGUCAUGUGCAGCUACAACAGGCACUUUUAAACAGCUGCCGUGCCCCGCCCCAGAGGUGGCUGCAUUUGGCAUUGCAAUAACUGCCAGACCCAACCCGGCAGGAUCAACGGCGUGCCCGCCUGUGCCAACAAGAAGCUGCUGACAGACAUCCUGCGGGCAGAGUGGGGCUUCCAGGGCUACGUGGUGAGCGACGAGGGGGCCGUGGAGUUGAUCAUGCUGGCCCAUCGCUACACACACAGCUUCCUGGAGACGGCCAUCGCCUCGGUGAACGCUGGCUGCAACCUGGAGCUGGCCUUCGGCCUGACAGAGAACGUCUUCAUGAGCAUCAGUGAAGCUGUGGCCAAGGGCAACAUCACGCUGGAGACGGUGAGGGCCCGGGUCCGGCCACUCUUCUACACACGCCUGCGGCUGGGGGAGUUCGACCCCCCUGCCAUGAACCCCUACAGUGCCCUCGACCUGAGUGCCGUGCAGAGCCCCACCCACAGGCGCCUCGCUGUGGAGGCUGCCAUCAAGAGCUUUGUGCUGCUGAAGAACCAGAGGGGGACGCUGCCCCUCAGCGCCCAGGCCCUGGCCGGCAAGCGCAUCGCGGUGGUUGGUCCCUUUGCCGACGACCCCAGGGUGCUGUUUGGGGACUACGCGCCCAUCCCGGACCCCCAGUACAUCUACACCCCCAGGAGGGGCCUGGAGACCCUGCCGGCCAACGUCAGCUUCGCCGCAGGCUGCAGCGAGCCCAGGUGCCAGCACUACUCGCCGAGCGAGGUGAAGGGGGCGGUCUGGGCAGCCGACAUCGUCGUGGUGUGCCUGGGCACAGGGACUGACCUGGAGACAGAGGCGAAGGACCGAUGGGACCUGUCCCUGCCCGGGCACCAGCAGGAGCUGCUGCAGGACGCUGUGGCCUGGGCCCGGGGGCACCCUGUCAUCCUGCUGCUGUUCAACGCGGGGCCACUGGACGUGGGCUGGGCCCAGGCCCACCACGGAGUAGGCGCCAUUCUGGCGUGCUUCUUCCCAGCACAGGCCGCGGGCAUCGCCAUCAUCAAAGUGCUGCUGGGGGAAGACGGGGCCAGCCCGGCAGGCAGGCUCCCGGCCACCUGGCCAGCUGGCAUGGACCAGGUGCCAGCCAUGGAGAAUUACACCAUGGAGGGGCGCACGUACCGGUACUAUGGGCCAAGGGCCCCACUCUACCCCUUCGGCUACGGACUGUCCUACACCACCUUCCUCUACCGGGACCUGGGCUUGAGCCCCACGGUGCUGCCCCUCUGCGCCAACCUCAGCGUCUCCGUGGUGGUGGAGAACACUGGGCAGAGGGAUGGUGAAGAGGUGGUGCAGCUGUACCUGCGUUGGGUGCAGCCCUCCGUGCCGGUGCCCCGCUGGCAGCUGGUUGGAUUCCGCCGGGUGCCCGUUGCCGCAGGCCGGGCGGCGAAGCUGCUGUUCCUGGUGACCUACGGGCAGCGCGCCGUCUGGGCCAAGCAGUGGCAGCUGGAGCCAGGCGCCUUCACGCUCUUUGUGGGCGGGCAGCAGCCGGGCCAGGAGACACGUGCCAGCUCCGAGGUCUUGCGGGCAGAAUUCACUGUGACUGGCACCACCCGACCCCUGAGCCACUGCUAGGGACAGGGAUGGUUCCUGGGGCACUGGAAUGGGAACUGCGAGGGGGUAGGAUGGGGCCAUAUGCAUUAGGAUUGGGAUCUGGCCCAGCACCCAGCUUGUUGUACCAGGAAGCGGGGUCACAUGACUGUCUCUAUCGGGAUUGGGAGGCUGGCCCGGCACCUGGCUGGCUGUAUUUGGGGGGCCGUCCCGGCACCUGGCUGGCUGUACUGGGGGGACCGGCCUGGCACUUGGCUGGCUGUAUUUGGGGGGCCAUCCUGGCUAUAGUGGGGACAGUGGGAGCUCAUUCACUCGAUGCACAAUAAACUUUGCC